ACGGUGUGCGGGUGCUUCUUUAUGGAAGGGAACCCAGUUACCUUCUCCUCUCCUCUGUGUUAGGAUCACCGUCCUGGUCAACAUAGAGCAUAUGCGUGUGCAAAGUUCCCCACCGAGGAGACGACGCACGUUGGGUGCGACGGAUCGCAAGUUCCUAGAGUGACGCUCAGUGAGAACCAGGAGUGUGAUGGCCUUGGCAUGUGAUGGUGAUGGAGCUGAAGGUGUCCUCGAUCUUCGCGCAGUGACCUCCUCUAAGGUCCUCUGUAGCCACCCGGCCUCAGGCAUUCUCGGAGUGAUUCCUGUGAUGCCUCAAGAACACCGUGGACGCCUGAGGAUGAUUUCACGGGUUUCAUUCCAUACCACGUGACCACCGUCAGGGGAGAUGAUGAACAGACUUGCCGGUAGAGGAGAAGACAAGAAGAGGCUUGAUCUCCUGGGGUCUUCAUCAUCCAGAUAACGGGUUUUCUCAAGGAUUCCAUGGUCCAGUCUUGAAAAUGCGAAUACCUACAAGUUCGAGAAGAUGCUUUGAGGAGAAGAACUGAAGAUCAGUCGUCUUCUCACUGGGACCUCAUAGUACUCUUGGCAGAUCCGACGUAGAUGGAAUAGGAGGUUCAUGUCCGUAGCCGGCCAGCCCAGAGCCUGUGAGGGGGGAUCCCCAUGGACGCAGCUGCCUCAUCUUGUCUUUGCGUGACCUCUGAGGUGGCGAGACCCGUGGUAAGUGUUUCGUAUCGCUGCUGGGAAUACAGAACCGGAAAACAGGUAAAUACACAGCGUUUGGCCUUCUGUAGGCAACGUGCGAUUGUGGUCUGCUGCCGUUGCUGUUACUGUUAAUAGGUAUUCAUUCCUGUCUCAGUGAGAGGUGACCUUGAAACCGGUUUGAUUGAAUACCAUGGGGUAAUGUCACCAACG
Long non-coding RNA from Acinonyx jubatus (cheetah), 909 nucleotides. RefSeq lists it as uncharacterized. The transcript has 6 exons. The record is from RefSeq and is a predicted model, not a curated record. NCBI's taxonomy places the organism in Eukaryota, Metazoa, Chordata, Mammalia, Carnivora, Felidae.